This 679-nucleotide small RNA is filed under the name Pan troglodytes (chimpanzee). Its description in RNAcentral is "processed transcript". Lineage: Eukaryota; Metazoa; Chordata; Mammalia; Primates; Hominidae. The record is from RNAcentral.
AAAUAUGACAGGAGAUCUUAUGCCACCCAACCAAGUGGAUUCUCUGUCUGACGACUUCACAAGUCUCAGCAAAGAUGGGCUGAUUCAAAAACCUGGUAGUAAGGCAUUUGUAGGAGGAGCCAAAAACUGCAGUCUCUCCGUAGAUGACCAAAAAGACCCAGUAGCGUCUACUUUGGGAGCUAUGCCAAAUACAUUACAAAUCACUCCUGCUAUGGCACAAGGAAUCAAUGCUGAUAUAAAACAUCAAUUAAUGAAGGAAGUUCGAAAGUUUGGUCGAAAAUAUGAAAGAAUUUUCAUUUUGCUUGAAGAAGUGCAAGGACCUCUGGAGAUGAAGAAACAGUUUGUUGAAUUUACCAUCAAGGAAGCCGCAAGGUUUAAAAGACGAGUCCUAAUUCAGUACCUUGAGAAGAGACAUUACAAAGUGCACUUGAGGCUGCCCCCAACCUCUGACAUUUGUUCUUGCAUGUGAUGAUAGAAAGUCUUCAGAUGGACUUAUACAUUCUGUGCUUUGGAAGCACAAGAAGAACAAAAAAUGUGUAUAUUUCCUUUAAUGUUUAUACAAAAGUUUAUAUGGAGCAGUAUUGUUAUGUUUGUAUGAAUUUGCAAAAAUUAAAGUGUACAAAGAGAUUUUGAUUUUGCAUAUAUAAAAUAAAUCAUUUUAUUGAUUUUCACAAGUUCA